Molecule: unclassified non-coding RNA, 446 nt
Filed under: Hevea brasiliensis (rubber tree)
Lineage: Eukaryota; Viridiplantae; Streptophyta; Magnoliopsida; Malpighiales; Euphorbiaceae
Source: RNAcentral
UGGAAAUAGAAAAAAUUGGAAAUGAUAGCCAAAAAAGAGUUCAGAUUUGAAUUACAAAGGGCUUUCUGGAACUCCUUUUGGAUUCAAAAAAUCUAGACUUAAAUUCUUCCCAAGAAAAGCCAACACCAAUUCCUUGGCCAUACCCGAAGCCGAUACCAAGACCACAACCCAUACCCACUCCGAAAACGAGUUUGAGAUGGUUCCAAUCGGAACCACCUAACCCUAGACCACCAAUUGCUCCUAGACCCACACCGACGCCACAGCCAAUUCCGAAACCGCCGCCUGGCCCUGAUGUUGCUUCUUCUAGUUUCCGGCUGUUCUCUUGGAUGAAAUCUGUUACAGAUUGUAGCUUGUCGUCACGUUUCCCCCUUUUUCCGUUGAGAUUAAUGCCCUUCAACUUCCAAAGAGAAUUCUUGUUGUCAGCUUUCCGAUAGGCAAAACCAUUG